GCGCACCAGGCGCGAAUUUUCUCAAUGGGCGCAAGCCUGAAGGAGCGACGCCGCGUGGGGGAUGAAGGGUUUCGAUCCGUAAACCCCUGUCAUUUGCGAACAAACCCUGUGGUUUAAGAGGCGACAGGUUGAUUGUAGCGAAAGAGGAAGGGACGGCUAAACUCUGUGCCAGCAGCCGCGGUAAUACAGAGGUCCCAAGCGUUGUUCGGAUUCACUGGGCGUAAAGGGUGCGUAGGUGGCUGGGUAAGUUUGAUGUGAAAUCUCCGGGCUUAACCCGGAAAUGGCAUUGAAUACUAUCUGGCUGGAGGUUUGGAGGGGGGACUGGAAUUCUCGGUGUAGCAGUGAAAUGCGUAGAUAUCGAGAGGAACACCAGUGGCGAAGGCGAGUCCCUGGACAACACCUGACACUGAGGCACGAAAGCUAGGGGAGCAAAACAGGAUUAGAUA
Molecule: ribosomal RNA, 446 nt
Filed under: uncultured organism
Description: bacterial SSU rRNA
Rfam family: Bacterial small subunit ribosomal RNA
Source: RNAcentral